This is an RNA transcript of Gossypium arboreum, 1773 nucleotides long. RefSeq lists it as uncharacterized. The transcript is spliced from 7 exons. Lineage: Eukaryota; Viridiplantae; Streptophyta; Magnoliopsida; Malvales; Malvaceae. The record is from RefSeq and is a predicted model, not a curated record.
GAACACGACAAAACCAACAACUGUUACCUUUGGUUUUUCGUUUUUGAUUGUCUUUUUAGCGGUAUGUACUAUUUAUUUUUAGAAAGCUUUGGUUUUUAAAUUAAUUUUCCUCCUCCUUUUUUGUUUUUAUUUCAUUCCAAAAUAUAAAAGACCACUUCCUUUUAAAAGGAAUUAGUCAAUCGUACGACAGAAAAAAGAGAGAUAAGCUUAGACGAAAUCGACCAAGGAUUUUUAUUAGUUUUAUGGUUCUUGCAGACAUCGAAUUAAGCUCUUUUUAAGGAUUGGUUGGUAUUUUUUGGUGAGACCUAGAGCUGUUUGAUAUUUCUUUGAAGUCAAGGAUUAGUUCAUGUAGACCAUGACUGAAUUUUAGCUUGGCAGUAGUGGAGUUAAGUAUCUUAAGGAUUUGGGGUUUAUUUUUGAAUGGAUCCCUUGUUUACAAGAGAAAGAGAUAUUGAAGUAGAUCUUGAAAGUGGUGGGAUUAACAGUGAGGAUGAAAGAACAAAAGAUCGUGUUCCAUCGAAUUUACAAACAAAGAGAACUCUCAGUGGAGUUUGGAGCGAUCUUUUGAGUUUUGAUAAGAUAGGAAAGGGUGAAUCCGGCAUAAACUCGUGCAGUAGUUCUUCCAGUUUUGGUGGCGGAGUUGAGGGUGAGAAUAUGGAAUGCUUGGUAGACAAGAAUUCGGAAGGAGAAGAGAAUCAUGAACUCAUGGCGGUAGCAGAGAAGAACUUAGCAGAAGUGAAGUGCAAGAAGAAAAGCACUAGGAAGCCUCCCAAACCUCCACGGCCACCGAAAGGUCCGCUGUUGGAUGCUGCUGACCAGAAGAUGGUGAGGGAGAUUGCUGAACUUGCCAUGAGGAAACGUGCAAGGAUGAAACGGAUUAAAACAUUGAGGAGGAUGAAAGAAGCAAAGGCAUCAUCAUCUAACAGUGGCCUUUAUGCUAUGGUUAUCACGGUUCUCUUUUGCUUCGUCUUACUCUUUCAAGGUAUAUGUUCCAGACGUGGAGCAACUGUGAUGUUAAACGGGUCUCCUGCAGCUGUGGUUGGUUCAAGUGAAGGCUUGAUUUCUGUUCAGUUUUCCAAGAGCUUUCCUACGACUGGAAAUCAUGACCACGAUCCUCCUAGUUUGUCAGAGCAGCUGGUUUCUGGUUAUUCGGUUAUUGAGAAAGAACCGGAAAAGUUGCCUGAAGAUGCAGAGAAAUAGCUGCCGAUGUCGAAUUUUACAAGAACAUCCAUGCAUUAGCCGGGAAGAGAUCAUCUUGCUUCAAUCUGGAGGAGUCGGAAUCUGAUUAUCUCAAUUCACCGCUUCUACCGCCACUACAGAGCACGAUUGGUGUAUUUGUGGUUUGAACACUGCAUCAAAGUUCACUUUUACGUUUGGGUCCUGUGGAGGUUUCCAGUGAGUUUUCAUGGUCUCUCUCUGGUCAGGUAAUUUCCGAUUUAUCUCAUCAAGCUCCCGUACUAGACUAGCCACUAUGAUUCUGAUAUCUUGAGCUGUUUGUUGCUUGCCUUCCAUGACCUGCUUGUUUCGAGCAUGCCAAAUUGCCCAAAUUGUGAUCGCUAUAACUUUGCAGGGCCACACCUUGUGAUGACAUGCAUCAAUGUUUCAGGCUCACCGCCACAUCUAGGACAUAUGGAGGAGGCCACAAUCCUUUUGUUGUUUGAAUAUAGGCCGUAAGGAUGUAAUUAUCUAGUAUUCGUCAGUUUGCAAUUUUUAUUUUAGGAGGAAUCUGUAAUUGCCAGAGUUUUUUUUUUUUUGUAAAUUUCUCUGCUCUCA